UGAUUUUAUGAAAAAUGGGUUUAAAUGGUAAAUUGCUAUGUUUUAAGAGAAAUUGUGAUUUUAUAAAAUGAUUUUAUAAAUUUUCUAGAAAAUCGAAUAUUGGUUUUGAAAAUAGAGUAAUUGGAGACUGCUAGUUUGUGUUGCAAAUUUAUGGUUUUGAAUUGAAUGGCUUAUGACAAUAAAUGAGCAUGAAUGGCUAAACUGAUUUUGGUGUUAGAAUUAUUUAUACUGUGUAUUCAGCCUUGAGAGGCUAGGUUGCGAUAAAUUGCCAUGUCAUGCUAGAAUGAAUUUUAUUGAUUGGUGGAUUAUAUAUUAAUUAUUUACUGCAGAGGGGGUUCCGUGGACCAGCCUAUUAGAGGGGCACGGUAAACUCCAUUAUAUUAUUACCUCGAACGGAGAGGCGCGUAGGGUAUCUCCUGGGGUAAAGCUUAGGGUUCACUUCACGCCAAACCACCACGUGAAGGGGAACUCAGCCAACGCCAAGGAACGGCUGUAUUUUUCUCAAACUAAAAAUAUAUUUUAAGUGUAUACAAAAUUUUAACAGCCUUGGCGGACUCGGUUGGAUGCCCUGCGCAAGGUAUCACCGAGUAUGAGUUUUGGCACGAGCCAAAGUUUUAAGAAAUUCAUAAGCCAAGUUGAUUACUCGAUUUAUAUGGAUUGAUUUUAUUUGGUUGAAAUGAACUGAAAGGUAAUGAAAUUACGGUAUGAUGACUUAUUUUAAUUGUCUCCAUUUACUCGGCUUUAGAUACUUUAGAUGGUAUCUGUUUACUCACUGGGAUUAUAAAAUCUCACCCCUUCUUCCUAUACAUUUUUCAGGCUCAGGACAGUUUGUAGAUAGUCGAGUAGGACGAGAACUAAGCUCGGAACUGCAUUAUAGAAAGUAAGAGUUCACAGUCUUACAUCCUCUUGGUCAAUUGGAGCCCACGUGUCAUUGCAGAUCAAAACUUAUAUUUUGGUUAUCUGUAUUUCUAUUCAUACAAUUUUUACUUUACUUUCAUGUGCGAAAAAUUAUUUACGAAUAUUUCUAUAAAAAUUUAUUUUAUGAGAAAAUAGAAUAUUUUAUUGAUUAUUUUUGAAUAGUACUAGUUGUUAACAAUUUACUUUCAAAUGAACGUUUUAGAUACUUAAUUUGUUUUUAAAUCAUUAAAUAUAUAUUUUCGGCUUACCUACUACAUUUUUAGCAAGUUUCGAGGUUUUCGACAAAAAUGACAAAAAUGCCCCUGUGAAAAAAAAAAAAAAAUGUUAUGUUAUGAUUUGGAAAUGAUUUGUAAUCCUUCGUAUUUUGAUUAUUUGAUAACUAUUGCUCACCGGGGAAGUGCGAAAGCUGAUACGAGAGCCUUGCGAGGUUUCGAUCGACAUUCGGGGUGAAGAAUGUUUGUCGAGGCUUCGCGGCGGUUGUCACGGGCUCGAUGGGGAGUUCCGGGUCGUGACAAUUUAGAUUGGUAUCAGAGCAUGGUUUAAAGAUCAGAUAUUUUGAUUUUAAAGCUUUGGAUUUUAAAGUUUUUGAUUUUAAGGUUGUUUUAAGAAAUCUACACUGACACUGCGUGGCCCCAAGUCCAGUUAAGUUAAGAUAAGUUAAGUUAAGUUAAGUUAGGUUAGAUUGAAUAGAAUGUAUGCAUCUACAUAUAGAAAUCUACCUACUUUUGAGAUGCAUAAAUAAUUAAACAAUUACUAUUUGAUUGCAUAUAGGUUUUGAGGUGCACUGGUGACAUACACACCAUGUCUAGAAGAGGUGGUAGUCUCGAUACCUCUCAUAGUGAUAGCGAGGGAUCUCUAGAUUCUACGGCUAGAAGCAAAUGGCACCCUGAUACAGGUGAUUCGGAAGGUGGUCCAUCCCGAAUUCCUGAUAAUGGAAUUCCUAAGAACUUAGCAGAAUGGGUUCAUAAUAAGGAAAGCUUUGAGAGUAGCCAGAAUUUUGAAAGUGAGAGUAGCUCCAAUAUUCUGAAAACUGAAAUAGAUUUCCUUUUGAAACAAUCCGAAGAGUACCAUAGAGAACAUACGAGGAAGGCAAUUGCAAGGGGAGAUAUUCGUCUUAGGAAGGGGGUGAACGUUGUACGCCAUUUUCCUCCUGGAUGUGGAAGAAAUGCUGCACCGGUGAGUGCCGAGGAAAUUAGGAGAAGACAACAAGCUUGGAUUGAAAAGCAAAGAAAAAAAUCUCAAGAGGAGGAAAACCCGGAAGAGGAUCUUUAGGAGGACUCGGAGUAGAAUCUUCCGAUAAGAUCAGAUUAAGAUGAUGAUCCCAAGGACAUGUAAUAUUUUCGUAGGAUUUUACACUACCUUAACUCUAAGUAGAUGUUGUGUAAAAGAGAUAAUAAUUAUCUGUACAAAGAAGUAAAAAUAGUUUGGCUUUUAAAGUAUAGGACUAGAAUGUAUUAUAAAAUGGUUGUUUAAGUAACUGAAGGUAUAUGGGAAUCUUUAGUAUGAUAGAGAUAAAUUGGUAAUAUAAUUAUUGAGGAAGGUUAUAGAAGGAAGCAAUAAGGUUAUAAAUGACAUUCGGAAUGGAUAAUGUGAUUACGUUAAUGAUUGUAAUUUAAGCAUGAAGGGGAUUAUUCAGUGAUGUUAUGACACUAUGAGGUAAUAGUUGGGCACAAAUAUAACCCAAUGAAGUUAAAUUAUGGAAUAUGGGGAAUAUAAAAUUUUGAUUCAGUAAGGAUUGUGAGAAUAAAAUAAGGAGGAAGCUGGGCUGUUUUCGUAGUUAAUUAUACCGAAAGUCAAUAAGAUUAUUGGAGUAUAAGACAAAGAAGAUAAUUGGAUAGGGAUGACAAUAAAUUUGAGGAAAGUUGUAGAUAGUAAGCAACUUAUGUGUGGAGUGGUAUAUGUAUCAUGAAUUUAUUACACUGUAUGGAAAGGAUGUUUUGAGGUGGAAUUUUAUGAAUGUUGAUAAACGUCAAAAGAUGACAUGAGAUGAAAGUAUUAAUCUGGCUUAGUGUGUAUGACAAGAAAAUAGAAGGUACCUAUACUUAUGGAACUCAUGAUAUAUAUCUAAAAGGGAAACCACUGGUUGAGAAUGAUUGAUGUGGUGACUUUGAAUGCAGACAAAUAGCUUUGAUGAGAAAAUUUCUAAUAGCUACAGUGCUUCAACAUUGACUGUUCAACGCUAUAAUGCUCCGAAUACCUCACGCCUAUGAUGCAUGAGUAAGAUGGGAGUGACACGAUAAUGAGCUUACAAAUUGAAUUUUGGUUGUUGGUCAUUGUGUUUUGUUAUCUGGGAGUCUUAAAUAUUCUGGAGAAUGUUUACCCAAAUGAAUUGAAAAACUUCUUUAUUGCCUUGUAUAUAGGCAUAUAAUUAAAAAAAAAAAAAUUGAAAGAUUCUUGAGAUGACUAUAUUGAGAUGAGAUACCAAGUAAUGAAAGUGUGAAGGAAGAAUUACGAGACUGGUAUAGAAAAUCAGUUUAUAUAGAAUAUCAUUACGAGAAUUUGUAAUAUCUGUUUUGAUACAGUAAAAUGACAAGAGUUAGGAACAACAUGAGGCUAAUUGUGUGACACCCUAGAAACCUAUGAAGAUGAGUUAGGGAUUGAAUGGAUGAGUACGUAUUUAUAUAUCUUUAAGAUUAAGUGUUUUAGGAAUACAUAAACAUCUUUGAGAAGAGAUUCUAAUCAUACACAGCAAGUAUGAAACGUAAAAUUUUUAAAACUUGCUGAGAAGCCUAACGGCUAAAUCACAAGUUAAGGGAUCACAUGCUGUGAGACAUAAGUUUAAGAUAGAUAUUCCCAAGGAAAUACUCAAGAGAAGUUUUGCUCUGGAUCUCGUUAAAGCAAGCACUAAGUUAUGUGAUUAUAAAAAGGAAGCUGUAAGCUGAGAGUGAUAUUAGUAUUAAUAUUGAAAAAUACUUGAGGAGAAUCUAGUUUUAAGUUUUACAAUUUCAAGUACAAUUUAUAAAUUAGUUAAGGAAGAAUGAUGUUAUGUUCAUAUGAAGGAGUGGAACAAAGGAUGAUAGAAGUUGACCUUGAAAAUGAAGUCAGAUAAUGAAACUUUCCUAAUAUAUUAUGGAAAUUGGAAUUCGAAAAUGCUUAAGGCAUACAUGAUUCAAAUGGGUUCGAGUCUUAAGUGACAAAUCAAUAUCGUAAUGCAAGAAAGAUACAAGGUAAUAUAGAGGCAUGAAAGAUGAUUAAGGACAAAAGGAUGACUCUUAGGAAUUGUGGUAUUGCAUGAGAUGCAAUGAUCAAGUUGAGAUAAAUCUUUGAGGCAUCAAUAGGAUUAUAAAGCAUACACGCAUAAUAGAUUAUAAUUCAAUGGAGAUGACAUUGUGAUGAAUGAUAUAUAGUAUAAGGAAACUCAAACAUAUGGUUGGAAAUGAUAUGAAUGAUAUGAAGUUAUACACAAGUAUAAUAAGAAGGUUGACAUGCACUAUAAGAAUUAUUAUAUUGAAACUAGGAUUGGGAUACGGAUGAAUAAUGGGGGAAUGUAGUCCAAGGCAUGUGAACACAUGGAUUCCUAUAUAUAAAGAGAGAGGUUGACAUUUGAAAAUGCAUGUAUAUAUGUAUAUAUGAAAUUGAUAAUUUUACUAACUGAAGUGAAGAAUGGUUCUCGGUAAUUGGGAGAUUUUGAAAUAGUGUCCAGAGAGGUUAGUGAGCUAAAGUGUUAACAGACAUGUAAUGAACGAUUAAAGUUAUGAAUGACUUUGAAAGUAAACCUUGAAUUGUUUAAGUUUUUAAUGGAACUCCAUUAAAGGAAGGGUUUGGACCAGUAUAAGAUGGAUGAAUCAAGGUUGAGAAAAUUGGUAUGGAGCAAAUUAAUAAAAUGAUGAAUAGGUAUACAUAAGUAAGUAUGAUAUGUGAUCGAAAUCGGUAUAAUUGAGAUGAAGUUAUGGUUCAAAUGUAAUAAUGGUGAUAAAGGCAUGCUUAGUGUCUAGAUAUAAGAGAUCAUGGUUGUGAAAAGUAUUACUGAUCCGGUUCCAAAGGAUGAUAAUUGCCAUAAAUAAAGCAUUUAAUUGAACUGAAGGUGAACGAGGGAAAUAAAUUGAAUGUCCCUAUAGAAGGAACAAGGAGUAGGAUCAUAGAAGGAGAUUGAUAACGCAACAUCGACGGGAAUUCGAGGACGAAUUCUAUUUAAGUGGGGGAGAUUGAAAUACCCCAUACUUUGAUAUAGUGAUAAAUAAAGUUGAUCGAAUGCAAAUUGAGGUCAAUUAAAAUGUUUAAAAGUGAUAAAAGACGAAAGGAGUAGUUUAGGAUAAAAUAUUUCGCAAGUGAGAAAAUAACAAUAAAAUAAUAAUAAUUUUAUCAGAGGAGAAUUUGUGAGAUAAAAGGCGAUUCAGAAGUCAAGUGAGGCAUAAUAAGGUAUUUCAGGUACCAAGGAGACAAGAUAAAAUUUUUAAAAUAUUAAUAUUUAGCCGGAUGUCGAAAUCAGUCAAGAAGAAAGAUCAUAUGGUUGAUUCAAGUGGGGGAGAAGAUGACAAGCCCGACUCUAUAAAAAUAAUUGUCAUGACAUACAUGUGAUGGAUAGCAUGUUUGCAUGCUAAGAGAGUCCCGAAAAAAAUUUACAAAAGUCGGUAUUAUACCUAGACGUACAACAAAGUUGAUUUAAACCUCGAACUAGAUCAAAUAGAGAAUUUACGAUGAAAUUAAGAAUUUUAAAGUCCCAGAAUGGUUUAAUAUGGUGAUUCGGAGUUUGAGGAUCAAUUUGGAGUCAAACCGGAAUUUUCGCUAUCUAGGGGCAAAAUGGUCAUUUGCCACCUGGGGACAAAAUGGAAAUUUUUAGAAAAGAUUUUUGGCCCCAUUUGACUUAUUGGAGUAAGAUUUGAGGUUUAGAAGUGAAAAAUUUUAAUUUCGGUAUAAUUUGGAGAAAAAGGGUAAAAUGGUAAUUUUGCCAUCCGAAAUCGAAAAUUUAAUUUUUGAAAGGAUUUUGAUCAAAUUUAAUUAUUUGGAGUGUGAAAUGAGUAUGAGGAGUGCAAAUUAUGCAUUAUGGCAAAUUUUCAAUUUUUGGGGCAAAAAUGUAAUUUUUGAAAAGUUCGGGGGCAAAAGUGUAAUUUUGAAAAAUUUGCUCCACCAAAACUUUGGAAAAAUCUGGAAAUUUCACUUAAGACUUGGAUAAGUCAAAGGGAAUGCAUGGUGGAAAAAGUAGGACAAAUGGAUGGCUAGAAAAAAAAAUGAAUUAAUAAAAUAUUUAAAAUAUGAAUAAAAUAAUAUUAUUUCAUUAAACAAUAAAAAAGGCAUAAAAAAAUCAGCCCACCCAUUCUUCUUCUUCAACAUUCGGCCAAGCAAGAAACAAGAGAGAGAAAGGAGAAAAUAAAACCCUAGCUAAGAAAUUUAAAGGGAAAAUAGGUGGAAAUUCAAAAAUCAAGGAAAAAAAGGUAACAUUUCUUAAAUUUGUCUUGUGCUUUACCUUUCCCAUGCAUUUUCCAUCAUUUUUCAUGGUUGAAUCAUGUGAUUUGAGGAUGAUUUGAAUUCUGGUCAUAUGGGUUUAGAGAGAGAAAGUUGUUAGAUAAAUUUGAUUUUGAGCUAUGUUAGUGUUUAGUGUUAGUUUAGCAUGUUUAUGAGUAAAACAACAAGAAAAAUAUUUAUCUUCUCCAUGAAUUUCUCUAGGCCGAAUCUAGCCAAUGGUAUGUGAGGAUGAGGUUGACUUUAUUUUAAGAGAAUUGGGUGGAAAAAUGAUGAAUUAUGAGGUUGGAAAUUAAAUGGGAAUUUUCGGUGCAAUAAAUUGAAAUUUUUACCCACUAGGGGUAAAAGCGUAAUUUAUAGUCCGGACUGAUAAAUUGGACCAAAUUCACAGUCAUUGAGGUAUUGUGGAUAUAAUUGGAUAAUUGAAAUUGAAAUGGAUGGAAUUGGAGUCGAAUUGGGGAUUUUAGGAAUUUACACCGUGUAUAGGCGAGUUAGGUCGGACACCGCAAUUAAGCGAUUGUCUAGACAUUUCAAAUCCUAUCUAGUGCAUACGCAUGGAUAAGAGCCUGAAAUAAUUUAUGAUAAAUUGACACAAUUUAUUGAAUUUUGUGUCAUGGAUUAUGGAUAGGUGGUGAGUCAAUUGUUUCGGGUAAGAGACUGCACCCGAGGGCGGAAGAUAGGAGUAUUUCUACUCCUAAUACUGUGAGUAAACUUAUUAUCGUCUUAAUUAUCUAGAGUAGUUUUAUACAACUGUGUGAUUUUAUGAAAAAUGGGUUUAAAUGGUAAAUUGCUAUGUUUUAAGAGAAAUUGUGAUUUUAUAAAAUGAUUUUAUAAAUUUUCUGGAAAAUCGAAUAUUGGUUUUGAAAAUAGAGUAAUUGGAGACUGCUAGUUUGUGUUGCAAAUUUAUGGUUUUGAAUUGAAUGGCUUAUGACAAUAAAUGAGCAUGAAUGGCUAAACUGAUUUUGGUGUUAGAAUUAUUUAUACUGUGUAUUCAGCCUUGAGAGGCUAGGUUGCGAUAAAUUGCCAUGUCAUGCUAGAAUGAAUUUUAUUGAUUGGUGGAUUAUAUAUUAAUUAUUUACUGCAGAGGGGGUUCCGUGGACCAGCCUAUUAGAGGGGCACGGUAAACUCCAUUAUAUUAUUACCUCGAACGGAGAGGCGCGUAGGGUAUCUCCUGGGGUAAAGCUUAGGGUUCACUUCACGCUAAACCACCACGUGAAGGGGAACUCAGCCAACGCCAAGGAACGGCUGUAUUUUUCUCAAACUAAAAAUAUAUUUUAAGUGUAUACGAAAUUUUAACAGCCUUGGCGGACUCGGUUGGAUGCCCUGCGCAAGGUAUCACCGAGUAUGAGUUUUGGCACGAGCCAAAGUUUUAAGAAAUUCAUAAGCCAAGUUGAUUACUCGAUUUAUAUGGAUUGAUUUUAUUUGGUUGAAAUGAACUGAAAGGUAAUGAAAUUACAGUAUGAUGACUUAUUUUAAUUGUCUCCAUUUACUCGGCUUUAGAUACUUUAGAUGGUAUCUGUUUACUCACUGGGAUUAUAAAAUC
Molecule: long non-coding RNA, 7861 nt
Filed under: Theobroma cacao (cacao)
Lineage: Eukaryota; Viridiplantae; Streptophyta; Magnoliopsida; Malvales; Malvaceae
Description: long non-coding RNA (TCAC_LNC002486)
Source: RNAcentral